UAAGGAAUAUUGGACAAUGGGCGGAAGCCUGAUCCAGCCAUCCCGCGUGCAGGAAGAAGGCGCUCUGCGUCGUAAACUGCUUUUACAGGGGAAGAAACCCUCUCUUUUUGAGGGGCUGACGGUACCCUGCGAACAAGCACCGGCUAACUCCGUGCCAGCAGCCGCGGUAAUACGGAGGGUGCGAGCGUUAUCCGGAAUCACUGGGUUUAAAGGGUGCGCAGGCGGUGCGCUAAGUCAGGGGUGAAAGGCCGGGGCUCAACCCUGGGACUGCCCUUGAUACUGGCGUGCUAGGAUUGGCGCGAGGCAGGCGGAACGCGGCAUGUAGCGGUGAAAUGCAUAGAUAUGCCGCAGAACACCGAUUGCGAAGGCAGCCUGCCAGAGCCAUAUCGACGCUGAGGCACGAAAGCGUGGGGAGCGAACAGGAUUAGAUACCCCCGUAGUCC
This 443-nucleotide ribosomal RNA is filed under the name uncultured prokaryote. RNAcentral describes it as "bacterial SSU rRNA". It matches the Rfam family "Bacterial small subunit ribosomal RNA", at positions 355 to 796 of the family's 1533-position model. The record is from RNAcentral.